Molecule: long non-coding RNA, 1050 nt
Organism: Salvelinus sp. IW2-2015
Lineage: Eukaryota; Metazoa; Chordata; Actinopteri; Salmoniformes; Salmonidae
Source: RefSeq, a predicted model, not a curated record
GUUCCAGGCAGCGAUGGUGUUAAGGCUGUCGCUUGAGCAUUCUGGUAGUUCGUGUGUGUUUGUGGCAUCUUCUAAUUGAUGUAGUUUCUCAGACUGUACAUCUAACAUGGGGAUAGAGAAUGUGGAAAAAUGCGAGUUUGGGAAACCCUGCUCUAUGUGACUGGAGCCAUGCGCCAGGUGUGCAGGAGCUCUUCGCCUGAUCAACAUUCCUCUGAUGGUGUAUGGGUGUUAUAAUGGCAGGUUUGGUGACUGUGGAUCUGUUCUAGACAUAACUCUGCUAAUCUACCCCACACUGGGUCAUCAUUAAAAGUACAGUCUAGUGUUUACAGCAUUUUGUAGAAAUGCAUCCCGUGUUCAAAUACAUCCUCAUCAAUGCAGCAGCCUUGAUUUGAAUAGUUGAAUAGGAUCAUUCAUAUACUUUAUUCAUAUAUAUACUCCUUUAUUUUCAGUGUUUCUCAUGUUUUCAGAGCAGAAGAAGCAGUGCAAAUGCUGAAGACCUUUUUAUAAACAGGAGAACCCAAAUGCCCCCAAGCCCAAGACAAGGAAGGAGUGAGAUACUGUUGAUGUCCAGCAGGGGGCAAUAUUCGUUAAGUAAUGAGCUCCAGAGGCAGUAGCCAGGCCAGCGGGUGAUGAGAGCUGGGUUAGAGCGGGCCCACGGCCCUCCCGGAGAGGAGCUGUCAGCUGGACACCUGUCGACCAUGGAUACCUGCCACCUCCCUGCCUCAGCCCUCUAACAUGCAGCCUGGGAUAGUGCCGGCAUUCACAGGGCCUCUUCCAAAAAUACCCAGCACGGCUAAACACAAACCUCAUGUUAUCUUAUCUUGUGUAUGAGAAUGAUAAGAGUGGACCUCGCUCAUUAUAAUGGCCCCUCUGUGAUAUCAAAUGUUACGUCACAUACGCAGAAUACAACUGGUGUGAAAUAAAUGCUACUUUACUGUGAAAUGCUUGCUUACGAGCCCUUCCCAACAAUGCAGAAGAUAAAGAUAAAAAAUAUAAUAGUAACACAAGAAUGGACCUAUAUACAGGUAGUACUAUUACCAGAUAAAUGUG